Long non-coding RNA from Perca flavescens (yellow perch), 529 nucleotides. RefSeq lists it as uncharacterized. The transcript is spliced from 3 exons. The record is from RefSeq and is a predicted model, not a curated record. Lineage: Eukaryota; Metazoa; Chordata; Actinopteri; Perciformes; Percidae.
GCGUGCGGCGGCUCUUCCUCCCAGGCGGCGCGCACGUUUUCACUUACGUUCUGCCGCGAUGACGUCAUUCUGGGCAGAGGAGCCAUAGAGCCAGAGCCUUUCUCUAUCACUCUGCAUAGAGCCUUUCUCUAUCACUCUGCAUAGAGUCAUAUAGACUGUACCGACUGUACCAAGAACAGGGGCACGUGAGCGAGCAAGAGACCCCUGGCAAGUACCUGGCACUCCCUUCAGGACCUCAGAAACAACAUGGCGAACUUUAGGACUAACAAAUGUGCUUCACCCAAAUGCAGAAGUGACAGAAGACCACAGUGACGACAAGAUCAUUGACAGCAAAUAAAGACAGGAAUGAAUACGUGCACAUGAAGAAACAAUGGAUUAAGCUAUGAGGCUCAUCGUGUGAAUGAAACACAGACAAAUCCACAGAGUUUAGCAAAGCAACUGAACAAUGACAACCACAGAAAAUGUUUAUCAGGAUGUUAAAAUGUUCAAGUGCUGAUGAGAGAACAUUGUCUAAUAUUUGUUUAUAAAA